Long non-coding RNA from Gymnodraco acuticeps, 600 nucleotides. RefSeq lists it as uncharacterized. NCBI's taxonomy places the organism in Eukaryota, Metazoa, Chordata, Actinopteri, Perciformes, Bathydraconidae. The record is from RefSeq and is a predicted model, not a curated record. The transcript is spliced from 4 exons.
AAAGACAUGUCCCAGUUGCGGUAUGGUCUACCGCUAUCAGGAGUGGCAGGAUGGAAUCCACAAUUUCGAUAACCACAUGAUGCUCUCUCUACAUGUGUGCCUUACUUUAAGAAAUGCAUUACAGACCCACACUGCAGUUAGCCGUGUAAUUGGGAUUAUUGAGGCAACUGAGGGAGAGUCCUUCCCUAACAAGGAGAAGGUGCUACAGGUGUAUCUCUCCUUUGAAGCCCUCUCUGAACAUGACUACACAUAUGCCUGUGUUUCAUGGGUAUCACCCUGUAACAGUUGUCAUGGAUCUUCAUAAGAAGGGCGUUUUCAGUAUGCCUGUCAGUGAAAUCCAAAAUCCACCUCAGCAGUAUGAUGGUAGAGUCAAUGUGAAAGACUUCUGGGAUGCAGUGACUAUGGAAAUCCUAAGCCGUGGUUUCUAUCCCAGUGACGGCAAGAAUCCUUUCAUUGUCCGUCCAAGUUAUCAAAACUGGGCACCGUGGAUUGGACAGCAUACCAGACAGUCAGAUAUUGUGUUCAACACGGAGUAUGCCAAGAUCCAUGUGCCAGAUGUCUCCACUGAUGCGGACGAGCGGGUGACAGAAGAGCGACUGG